CAGUAGCCGCGGGAAUACGUAGGUCCCGAGCGUUGUCCGGAUUUAUUGGGCGUAAAGGGAGCGCAGGCGGUUUAGUAAGUCUGAAGUUAAAGGCAUUGGCUCAACCAAUGUAUGCUUUGGAAACUGUUAGACUUGAGUGCAGAAGGGGAGAGUGGAAUUCCAUGUGUAGCCGUGAAAUGCGUAGAUAUAUGGAGGAACACCGGUGGCGAAAGCGGCUCUCUGGUCUGUCACUGACGCUGAGGCUCGAAAGCGUGGGUAGCGAACAGGAUUAGAUACCCCCGUAGUCCCUGUCUCUUAUACA
This 301-nucleotide ribosomal RNA is filed under the name uncultured bacterium. RNAcentral describes it as "partial 16S ribosomal RNA". It matches the Rfam family "Bacterial small subunit ribosomal RNA", at positions 509 to 808 of the family's 1533-position model. The record is from RNAcentral.